Molecule: long non-coding RNA, 389 nt
Filed under: Numida meleagris (helmeted guineafowl)
Lineage: Eukaryota; Metazoa; Chordata; Aves; Galliformes; Numididae
Description: lncRNA (ENSNMEG00000009118.1)
Source: RNAcentral
AUGAGAGACUCCCUGUAAAUCUCAUUUGCAGCUAGUUUUGGCUUCAUUUGCAAUAGCAGCCAUACCAAAAGUUAUCAUGAUCAAUUACAACUUGACAUAAGAAACUAUAGCAGCACUUCUCUAUAGGUAUGUAGAAAGACUUUUUGAAAGACAGACCAUACAGUUACAGUACAAGCCUCUUGGGACACUAAUUACGCAGAGUUGGUAAUAUGAAUCAUGAUGACAUGGAUGGAAUUUGAAGCAGAGACGGUUAAGGGACAGCCUCAUCUCAUUGAGUGCAUUGAGCCAUCUGCAGGUAGCUUUCUGAAAUGCUCCUCACACGUAUGGAGACUUCAUCUUUUCCCUCAUCAAAAAUCAGGGACUAAACUGUGAUUCCUAUGCACACAAGA